Molecule: ribosomal RNA, 480 nt
Filed under: Fusarium neocosmosporiellum
Lineage: Eukaryota; Fungi; Ascomycota; Sordariomycetes; Hypocreales; Nectriaceae
Description: eukaryotic LSU rRNA
Rfam family: Eukaryotic large subunit ribosomal RNA
Source: RNAcentral
CAACAGGGAUUGCCUCAGUAACGGCGAGUGAAGCGGCAACAGCUCAAAUUUGAAAUCUGGCUCUCGGGCCCGAGUUGUAAUUUGUAGAGGAUGCUUUUGGUGCGGUGCCUUCCGAGUUCCCUGGAACGGGACGCCAUAGAGGGUGAGAGCCCCGUCUGGUUGGACGCCAAUCCUCUGUAAAGCUCCUUCGACGAGUCGAGUAGUUUGGGAAUGCUGCUCUAAAUGGGAGGUAUAUGUCUUCUAAAGCUAAAUACCGGCCAGAGACCGAUAGCGCACAAGUAGAGUGAUCGAAAGAUGAAAAGAACUUUGAAAAGAGAGUUAAAAAGUACGUGAAAUUGUUGAAAGGGAAGCGCUUGUGACCAGACUUGGGCUUGGUUGAUCAUCCAGGGUUCUCCCUGGUGCACUCUUCCGGCCCAGGCCAGCAUCAGUUCGCCCCGGGGGAAAAAGGCUUCGGGAAUGUGGCUCCCUCGGGAGUGUUAU